GUCUAUGGCCAUAUCACCCUGAACGUGCCUGAUCUAGUCUGAUCUUGAAGCUAUGCAGGGUCGGGCCUGGUUAGUACUUGGAUGGGGCACACUGGGUUUCAAUGCAUA
RNAcentral lists this ribosomal RNA (108 nucleotides) under Chinchilla lanigera (long-tailed chinchilla). The record is from RNAcentral. Lineage: Eukaryota; Metazoa; Chordata; Mammalia; Rodentia; Chinchillidae.